GCCGGGCCUUCGGGCUUCCACUCAGUCUUUGACCCUCGGUCCUCGCUCAGCGGCCCGGCAGGCCGCACAACUGUAACCGCUGCCCCGGCCGCCGCCCGCUCCUUCUCGGGCCGGCGGGCACAGAGCGCAGCGCGGCGGGGCCGGCGGCAUGGCUGUGUCCUGGAGGAGCUGGCUCGCCAACGAAGGGGUUAAACACCUCUGCCUGUUCAUCUGGCUCUCCAUGAAUGUCCUGCUUUUCUGGAAAACCUUCUUGCUGUAUAACCAAGGGCCAGAGUAUCACUACCUCCACCAGAUGUUGGGGCUAGGAUUGUGUCUAAGCAGAGCCUCAGCAUCUGUUCUUAACCUCAACUGCAGCCUUAUCCUUUUACCUAUGUGCCGAACACUCUUGGCUUACCUCCGAGGAUCACAGAAGGUUCCAAGCAGGAGAACCAGGAGAUUGUUGGAUAAAAGCAGAACAUUCCAUAUUACCUGUGGUGUUACUAUCUGUAUUUUCUCAGGCGUGCAUGUGGCUGCCCAUCUGGUGAAUGCCCUCAACUUCUCAGUGAAUUACAAUGAAGAUUUUGUUGAACUGAAUGCAGCAAGAUACCGAGAUGAGGUGGGUGGUCUCUGUCUUCCCAUUUUUCUUUCACUUGUCAUGAGAUGACUAAUGAGGGUCUGUGAUUUUUCCCUGAAAAUUUGUACCUUACUGCUCCUUUUGAGUGCUUUUAAAAUGCAGUUGUCAAGUUGAGCUUUAUUCCUUUUCAGUAGAAAAUAUAAGUAAUUACUAUUUCAUAGUGUCUCCUGCUGAAAGUGAGAGUUGGUAGAAUGUCUACUUUUUAUACUGCAAUGUUCAGAUGGUUGCCACUCAGGUCUGCCUCUGACUCCCAGCAGCUUUUGUCUAAUUCCUAUCAUUCAGCUGAGAGUGUUGACAGUGCCGUUACAGGGUAAAAAUACUCUAUAAUUCACAUACUGGGUUUUGGGGAAAAGGGAAGAAAAGUAGAUUGAUUUUUUGUGAAUCCUGGACAAAUCAAUUUAUUUGACUUAAAAAAUGUUAGUGAGUUUUCAUGAUUCAUUCAUUUAAAAACAUUCCUCGAAUUAAGUGAUGUUGAAUUCAAUUCUGUAGCAGGCAAUAUCUGACGUAGAGUGCUUUUCUCCAUGUGAAGCCAUCCAUGAAAUGAAAUUAUAUGUGCAAGGUGCAGGCCAGAGCCUGAUGAGCCAGUUAGGUCUCUGUUGGUUGAUGCUUUUAUACAGUCCUCAGGCUGCCUUUGCUUCACAAUGCCAAGACUACAUCAAAAACAAACUGUUCUGUCCCAUUU
This 1295-nucleotide small RNA is filed under the name Pan troglodytes (chimpanzee). RNAcentral describes it as "retained intron". The record is from RNAcentral. Lineage: Eukaryota; Metazoa; Chordata; Mammalia; Primates; Hominidae.